UGGGGAAUAUUGCACAAUGGGGGAAACCCUGAUGCAGCCAUGCCGCGUGUGUGAAGAAGGCCUUCGGGUUGUAAAGCACUUUCAGUAGGGAGGAAAGGGUAAGGUUUAAUACGCCUUAUCUGUGACGUUACCUACAGAAGAAGGACCGGCUAACUCCGUGCCAGCAGCCGCGGUAAUACGGAGGGUCCGAGCGUUAAUCGGAAUUACUGGGCGUAAAGCGUGCGCAGGCGGUUUGUUAAGCGAGAUGUGAAAGCCCUGGGCUCAACCUAGGAAUAGCAUUUCGAACUGGCGAACUAGAGUCUUGUAGAGGGGGGUAGAAUUCCAGGUGUAGCGGUGAAAUGCGUAGAGAUCUGGAGGAAUACCGGUGGCGAAGGCGGCCCCCUGGACAAAGACUGACGCUCAUGCACGAAAGCGUGGGGAGCAAACAGG
RNAcentral lists this ribosomal RNA (429 nucleotides) under uncultured bacterium. RNAcentral's name for it is "bacterial SSU rRNA". It matches the Rfam family "Bacterial small subunit ribosomal RNA", at positions 355 to 776 of the family's 1533-position model. The record is from RNAcentral. RNAcentral also lists the same sequence under 1 other name.